GUCAGUCGACACAUGUUCCGUGCACCUAUGUUGCCAUUAAUCUAUUUUUAUCGUCAC
Molecule: small RNA, 57 nt
Filed under: Caenorhabditis elegans
Lineage: Eukaryota; Metazoa; Nematoda; Chromadorea; Rhabditida; Rhabditidae
Description: Unclassified non-coding RNA F15A8.18
Source: RNAcentral